UUCUCCAACUAAAGGCAAAAUUUUAAUCACCAUAUUUCCCGGCAUCAAAGACGCUAUUUUUUCCCCCACAAAAGUAAGUCUCGAAAAUCUACCAUGCAUCCUGGAGGCCGAAGGUUGUGUAGCCGUAACGGAAAUGUCUAGCAGAACCUGUCACUGUUUUGUGGUUCUCCGGAAGCCAGGGGAUUCAACACCAGUGACCUCCCUUGGCAAACAUUCUGGAAUGUUCCAAGCAUAGCAGAUUUACGUCCCUUUUAGUAAUGCCACUAUGGCAUAAAACGUUCUAGUAGGGUUUUAGUUGUUAGGCGGAGCCAACAGGAAUUCAGCCAAUAUAUGGGACGGAGAAAUCUGUUUUUCUUCUCUCCUUCACUGAAUUUCGACUUGGACUAAUCGUCGUUGUGGAGAACAGCUUAGUUCAUCCACAAAUAAAUACUUCCUGCAGCAACCGUGUGUGACAGGCCUUUUAUACUACAUGACAUAUGUACGAAUCAAUCCUACAUUUGUGAUUAGUAUUCCCUGUAGCCAAAAAGUGGGGUUUUUUUU
Octopus sinensis (East Asian common octopus) is the source of this 540-nucleotide long non-coding RNA. RefSeq lists it as uncharacterized. The transcript is spliced from 2 exons. The record is from RefSeq and is a predicted model, not a curated record. Lineage: Eukaryota; Metazoa; Mollusca; Cephalopoda; Octopoda; Octopodidae.